This 262-nucleotide ribosomal RNA is filed under the name Fibrocapsa japonica. RNAcentral's name for it is "partial Bacterial large subunit ribosomal RNA". It matches the Rfam family "Bacterial large subunit ribosomal RNA", at positions 981 to 1242 of the family's 2925-position model. Lineage: Eukaryota; Raphidophyceae; Chattonellales; Chattonellaceae. The record is from RNAcentral.
GAGUGAGUCCGCGAGGGAUAAUCUUCGCGGUCAAAAGGGAAACAACCCUGACCGCCUGCUAAGGUCCCAAAACGCAGCUCAGUUCGUUAGGAAGUUGUUGUGCCGUGACAGCCAGGAUGUUGGCUUAGAAGCAGCCACCAUUUAAAAAGUGCGUAAUAGCUUACUGGUCGAGCACAGCAGCGCCGUAAAUGAUCGGGAAUAAGCAGCGUACCGAAGCAGCGGAUGACGCCCUUGACCGGGCGUCGUGGUAGAUGAGCGUUGC